RNAcentral lists this unclassified non-coding RNA (693 nucleotides) under Melitaea cinxia (Glanville fritillary). Its description in RNAcentral is "misc RNA ENSMCXG00005014378.1". Lineage: Eukaryota; Metazoa; Arthropoda; Insecta; Lepidoptera; Nymphalidae. The record is from RNAcentral.
UUUUUUUCUUUUUUUUAGAAUAGAUUGCUGUAUUACAAAUUACAUUAUUAUGCAAACACUUCGUACGACGAGAAGAAAUAUGGGAAAGAGGGUUUAAAUGUCAAAUCACUGUCUUAUAUACCCAACGUUCUGUCACAUCACUGAUUGUCUAUUGCACUCACAGUUCAUAUAAAUACUUCACACCGAUGACCGAUAAAUUAAGUAUGGAUCACACGAUGUGAAUCGUUAAAGAGUUGCACCGCAAUGAAAAUGUGAGACGUUCCUUAACAUACUCCCCCCGUUGAAGAAUCCAGAUUCUUCAACUCUGUGUCUUCAUCGUUGAGUAAAGGGGGGGCGGCGAACCAGAGGGCGGCGAUAACAGCCCGUAGUGGGCCGAAUAUCAGCAACGCGAGAGCUCCCGUCUGGCCCCGGAUAUAGUCUGGCUACUGGCAUCCAGUACUCCAAUACAAAGGUGGCAGGUCUCCAACCUUUAGCUUAGUCUUGUCUUCAUUUUGUUGUAUGAUUUGCUUGAGACGUGCGUAGCGUUUUAAUUGUAGUUCCCCUUCAUUCUCCAAGGCGGGAGCCGGCAGCUCAUUUAGUGGUCUUCUGAUUAAGAAGUGCCCUGGGGAAAGGAAAAGGAAAUCGUCAAGGGAACAUGGAUAAUGGGCACAAGGGACGACUAUUCAAAGUAGCCUCCACUCGUGCAAACAAAGU